UACGUAGGGUGCGAGCGUUGUCCGGAAUUAUUGGGCGUAAAGAGCUCGUAGGCGGUGUGUCACGUCGAUCGUGAAAACUUUCAGCUUAACUGGGAGCUUGCGGUCGAUACGGGCAUCACUGGAGUUCGGCAGGGGAGACUGGAAUUCAAGGUGUAGCGGUGAAAUGCGCAGAUAUCUUGAGGAACACCGGUGGCGAAGGCGGGAUCCUGGGCCAGUACUGACGCUGAGGAGCGAAAGCGUGGGGAGCAAACAGG
Molecule: ribosomal RNA, 254 nt
Filed under: uncultured bacterium
Lineage: Bacteria
Description: partial 16S ribosomal RNA
Rfam family: Bacterial small subunit ribosomal RNA
Source: RNAcentral